This 399-nucleotide ribosomal RNA is filed under the name uncultured bacterium. Its description in RNAcentral is "bacterial SSU rRNA". It matches the Rfam family "Bacterial small subunit ribosomal RNA", at positions 358 to 771 of the family's 1533-position model. The record is from RNAcentral.
GGAAUAUUGCGCAAUGGGCGAAAGCCUGACGCAGCGACGCCGCGUGAGGGAUGAAGGCCUUCGGGUUGUAAACCUCUUUUUGUGGGGACGAAACAAAUGACGGUACCCACGGAAUAAGCACCGGCUAACUCCGGGCCAGCAGCCGAGGUAAUACAGAGGGUGCAAGCGUUAUUCGGAUUUACUGGGCGUAAAGGUCGCGUAGGUUGUUUAGUUAGUCUGUUGUGAAAUCCCUGGGCUUAAUCCAGGAAGUGCAGCGGAUACUGCUAAACUCGAGUACAGGAGAGGAGGACGGAAUUCCCGGUGUAGAGGUGAAAUUCGUAGAUAUCGGGAGGAACACCAGAAGCGAAGGCGGUUCUCUGGACUGUAACUGACACUGAGGCGCGAAAGCGUGGGGAGCAA